GCUGGGUGUGGUGGUGCACUCCUGUAAUCCCACAGGCUUGGGAGGCUAAAGCAGGAGGAUCGAAAGUUCAAAGCCAGCCUCAGCAACUUAGUGAGGUCCUAAGUAACUUGGUGAGACCCUGUUUCUA
RNAcentral lists this small RNA (127 nucleotides) under Marmota monax (woodchuck). Lineage: Eukaryota; Metazoa; Chordata; Mammalia; Rodentia; Sciuridae. The record is from RNAcentral.